RNAcentral lists this ribosomal RNA (508 nucleotides) under uncultured bacterium. RNAcentral describes it as "bacterial SSU rRNA". It matches the Rfam family "Bacterial small subunit ribosomal RNA", at positions 551 to 1070 of the family's 1533-position model. The record is from RNAcentral.
UUAUUGGGCGUAAAGGGUGCGUAGGCGGCCUGUUAAGUAAGUGGUUAAAUUGUUGGGCUCAACCCAAUCCAGCCACUUAAACUGGCAGGCUAGAGUAUUGGAGAGGCAAGUGGAAUUCCAUGUGUAGCGGUAAAAUGCGUAGAUAUAUGGAGGAACACCAGUGGCGAAGGCGGCUUGCUAGCCAAAGACUGACGCUCAUGCACGAAAGCGUGGGGAGCAAAUAGGAUUAGAUACCCUAGUAGUCCACGCCGUAAACGAUGAAUACUAAGUAUUGGGGAAACUCAGUGCUGCAGCUAACGCAAUAAGUAUUCCGCCUGUGGAGUAUGCACGCAAGUGUGAAACAUAAAGGAAUUGACGGGGGCCCGCACAAGCGGUGGAGUAUGUGGUUUAAUUCGACGCAACGCGAAGAACCUUACCAGGCCUUGACAUCCCUUGCAAAGCUGUAGAGAUACAGUAGAGGUUAUCAAGGAGACAGGUGGUGCAUGGUUGUCGUCAGCUCGUGUCGUGA